This 253-nucleotide ribosomal RNA is filed under the name uncultured bacterium. Its description in RNAcentral is "partial 16S ribosomal RNA". It matches the Rfam family "Bacterial small subunit ribosomal RNA", at positions 524 to 776 of the family's 1533-position model. The record is from RNAcentral.
GACGAACCGUGCGAACGUUGUUCGGAAUCACUGGGCUUAAAGGGCGCGUAGGCGGCCUGUCAAGUCGGGUGUGAAAUCCCUCGGCUCAACCGAGGAACCGCACUCGAUACUGUCGGGCUAGAGUCCGGGAGGGGAUGGUGGAAUUCCCAGUGUAGCGGUGAAAUGCGUAGAUAUUGGGAAGAACACCGGUGGCGAAGGCGGCCAUCUGGACCGGAACUGACGCUGAGGCGCGAAAGCUAGGGGAGCGAAUGGG